Molecule: transfer RNA, 76 nt
Filed under: Bradyrhizobium sp.
Lineage: Bacteria; Pseudomonadati; Pseudomonadota; Alphaproteobacteria; Hyphomicrobiales; Nitrobacteraceae
Also listed under: 22 other names
Description: tRNA-Lys
Rfam family: tRNA
About the family: Transfer RNA (tRNA) molecules are approximately 80 nucleotides in length.
Source: RNAcentral
GGGCGCAUAGCUCAGUUGGUAGAGCAGCUGACUCUUAAUCAGCGGGUCGCAGGUUCGAGUCCUGCUGCGCCCACCA